RNAcentral lists this ribosomal RNA (434 nucleotides) under uncultured bacterium. RNAcentral describes it as "partial 16S ribosomal RNA". It matches the Rfam family "Bacterial small subunit ribosomal RNA", at positions 29 to 507 of the family's 1533-position model. The record is from RNAcentral.
AGCGAACGCUGGCGGCAGGCCUAACACAUGCAAGUCGAACGAACCUUUCGGGGUUAGUGGCGGACGGGUGCGUAACACGUGGGAACGUGCCUUUAGGUUCGGAAUAACUCAGGGAAACUUGUGCUAAUACCGAAUGUGCCCUUCGGGGGAAAGAUUAAUCGCCUUUAGAGCGGCCCGCGUCUGAUUAGCUAGUUGGUUGAGGUAAUGGCUCACCAAGGCGACGAUCAGUAGCUGGUCUGAGAGGAUGAUCCGCCACCUUGGGACUGAGACACGGCCCAAACUCCUACGGGAGGCAGCAGUGGGGAAUCUUGCGCAAUGGGCGAAAGCCUGACGCAGCCAUGCCGCGUGAAUGAUGAAGGUCUUAGGAUUGUAAAAUUCUUUCACCGGGGACGAUAAUGACGGUACCCGGAGAAGAAGCCCCGGCUAACUUCGUG